CAAUAGCGUAUAUUUAAGUUGCUGCAGUUAAAAAGCUCGUAGUUGGAUUUCGGGUGGGAAUGGCCGGUCCGCCGUUUCGGUGUGCACUUGCUACGCCCACCUUGCUGCCGGGGACGUGCUCUUGAGUUCACGCUCGGGACACGGAGUCGGCGAGGUUACUUUGAGUAAAUUAGAGUGUUCAAAGCAGGCCUACGCUCUGAAUACAUUAGCAUGGAAUAACACGAUAGGACUCUGGCCUAUCUUGUUGGUCUGUAGGACCGGAGUAAUGAUUAAGAGGGACAGUCGGGGGCAUUCGUAUUUCAUUGUCAGAGGUGAAAUUCUUGGAUUCAUGAAAGACGAACUACUGCGAAAGCAUUUGCCAAGGAUGUUUUCAUUAA
Molecule: ribosomal RNA, 377 nt
Filed under: uncultured eukaryote
Lineage: Eukaryota
Description: partial 18S ribosomal RNA
Rfam family: Eukaryotic small subunit ribosomal RNA
Source: RNAcentral